AUGAGUUGUUUUUUUUGUUGGGUGAAAUCAAGCUAAAAAAUUAUAAUUUCUUUCAAGAUUUAGAGGUGCUAAAAAAUUUAGAUGCGAAACCAGGAUUAGAUACCCUGUUAUUCUAAAUUAUUUUUUAACUGGGUAGUAAAAGUUGUUCUUCAAACCCAAAGAUUUUGGCGGCACUUUAUCCAAAUAGAGGAGCUUGCCCUGUAAUCGAUAACCCUCGUUUUAUCUUUCCUUUAUUUGUUUAGCUUGUAUACCGCCGUUGCCAGAUUACUUUUAUAGGAUGUUUUCAUAAAAGAGGUUUCUCUAACUUCAGGUCAAGGUGCAGUUUAUGUAGGGGUAGAGGUGAGCUACAAUUUUGAUUAGAAAAAUGAAAAUUCAAUUUAUAAGUUGGUGGAAGGUGGAUUUAUUAGUAAGGUAGUUUAAGUAUAAUUAGCUGAAUAAGGUAAUGAAGUGUGCACAUAUCGCCCGUCACUCU
RNAcentral lists this ribosomal RNA (472 nucleotides) under Daphnia curvirostris. RNAcentral's name for it is "partial small subunit ribosomal RNA". The stretch from base 131 to 472 matches the Rfam family "Microsporidia small subunit ribosomal RNA", at positions 752 to 1205 of the family's 1311-position model. The record is from RNAcentral. Lineage: Eukaryota; Metazoa; Arthropoda; Branchiopoda; Diplostraca; Daphniidae.